Molecule: long non-coding RNA, 247 nt
Filed under: Capsicum annuum
Lineage: Eukaryota; Viridiplantae; Streptophyta; Magnoliopsida; Solanales; Solanaceae
Description: long non-coding RNA (CANN_LNC014436)
Source: RNAcentral
AGCCCCAAGCAAACCCUUUGAGCCAUUUUCAUUCAGUUCAACACAAAUCAACGGGGUUUCCAUAAAUAACCCUCAAAUAUCAACAGAGUAAUCAUCAUCCAAGAAUAAAAGAAUUUCAGAAAAAAUAACAAAAUACGACUUAUUAGUCAACUCCCAACAUCUAUACUAGUCUGACAAGCCUCUAAGAAAAUCAAUAAAACCAGCGAGCCAUUGAGACAUGCCCCAACUGACUCAUACUCAGUUAUCA